Molecule: small nucleolar RNA, 151 nt
Filed under: Olea europaea subsp. europaea
Lineage: Eukaryota; Viridiplantae; Streptophyta; Magnoliopsida; Lamiales; Oleaceae
Description: Small nucleolar RNA snoR2/U65
Rfam family: Small nucleolar RNA snoR2/U65
Source: Rfam by way of RNAcentral
GGUCCGAUGCCACGUUGUCAAUAGCGAAUUAGCAGUGACCGGCGAUGCUAUGAUUAGACCAAAAUUGAUUCCAUGUUUUGCUUGUCGAUAGGAAUCUGUAGACUGAUUUUUAUUCCAUUCAUCUGCGGAGCCGUUUUCUGCGAUCACAUUU